ACCUUUAUAAAAUAUUCAUAUUUAAAUCUACAAAAUCGUUACAAGCAACUCCAAAACUUUCAAAUAACUUCAUAGUUUGUCAGAUAAUCGGCAAGUCAGUAUAUCAAUAAGCGUUAAUGCGUUUAUGGUUAAAAAUCAUCAAGGAGCUAACUCCAUUCCCAUAUUAAAACUUCACAUCAUUCUUGCCAAUCCAUCAAACAAAUUCAUAUUCAAAACAAAAUGUAAAAAAUAAAAAAUAAAAACUAAAUACCAAUAUAUCAUAAUGUUUACCGCAAGAACAACCGAGGCAUACAAAAUCACCUAAAACCCCUAACCCUUAAAACAAUCUGCUACACAAAAAACAAGUGCAACAGAUCAUUACAAAAGUUACAGAUCCAUAAACCAGUGAAGUCACCUCGAUAAUAUCAUUCUUACAGUAGACGGAAGCUUCUCAAAAGGAUAACCCUAACGAGAAACCCCAAAAAUUGUUUAAUAUAGCGCGGCUAUGACUCAAAACGCUUCCAUUUCAACAAUUGGAAGGCGAUCUUAAGGGCUGCGCGUUAAGAGAUUAAAAGAACAACAAAAUUGAAACGGAAUUAAGAUGAAAUUGAUGGGUUUUGGUGGGUUGAAACCCUACGAUUGGUUGAACAGGUUGAAAUUUAGAACAACACCGAAGUGGAAUCUAUGGAUUCAGGUGGAUGGUAACCCUAAUUUUGAGAUGACAAGGGGGA
Molecule: long non-coding RNA, 710 nt
Filed under: Helianthus annuus (common sunflower)
Lineage: Eukaryota; Viridiplantae; Streptophyta; Magnoliopsida; Asterales; Asteraceae
Description: sRNA HanXRQr2_Chr13g0570571
Source: RNAcentral